This 500-nucleotide ribosomal RNA is filed under the name uncultured bacterium. RNAcentral's name for it is "partial 16S ribosomal RNA". It matches the Rfam family "Bacterial small subunit ribosomal RNA", at positions 30 to 523 of the family's 1533-position model. The record is from RNAcentral.
AUUGAACGCUGGCGGAAUGCUUUACACAUGCAAGUCGAACGGCGGCACGGACUUCGGUCUGGUGGCGAGUGGCGAACGGGUGAGUAAUGUAUCGGAACGUGCCCAGUCGUGGGGGAUAACGUAGUGAAAUUUACGAUAAUACCGCAUACGAUCCAUGGCUGAAAGCGGGGGAUCGCAAGACCGCGCGCGAUUGGAGCGGCCGAUAUCAGAUUAGGUAGUUGGUGGGGUAAAGGCCCACCAAGCCAACGAUCUGUAGCUGGUCUGAGAGGACGACCAGCCAGACUGGAACGGAGACACGGUCCAGACUCCUACGGGAGGCAGCAGUGGGGAAUUUUGGACAAUGGGCGAAAGCCUGAUCCAGCCAUUCCGCGUGCAGGAUGAAGGCCCUCGGGUUGUAAACUGCUUUUGUACAGAACGAAAAGGUUUCUACUAAUACUAGGAGCUCAUGACGGUACUGUAAGAAUAAGCACCGGCUAACUACGUGCCAGCCGCCGCAGUAA